ACGCUCGACACCUACUGGAGGCAGCAGUGGGGAAUAUUGCACAAUGGAGGAAACUCUGAUGCAGCGACGCCGCGUGAGCGAAGAAGUAUUUCGGUAUGUAAAGCUCUAUCAGCAGGGAAGAAAAAGGACGGUACCUGACUAAGAAGCUCCGGCUAAAUACGUGCUAGCAGCCGCGGUAAUCUGAGCGGGCUGGCAAGGC
This 199-nucleotide ribosomal RNA is filed under the name uncultured bacterium. RNAcentral describes it as "partial 16S ribosomal RNA". It matches the Rfam family "Bacterial small subunit ribosomal RNA", at positions 328 to 539 of the family's 1533-position model. The record is from RNAcentral.